Molecule: ribosomal RNA, 253 nt
Filed under: uncultured bacterium
Lineage: Bacteria
Description: partial 16S ribosomal RNA
Rfam family: Bacterial small subunit ribosomal RNA
Source: RNAcentral
UACGAGGGGGGCAAGCGUUGUUCGGAAUUAUUGGGCGUAAAGGGUGCGUAGGCGGUUUGAUAAGUCUCAUGUGAAAUCUUCGGGCUCAACCCGAAGUCUGCAUGGGAAACUGUCGGGCUUGAGUAUGGGAGAGGUGAGUGGAAUUUCCGGUGUAGCGGUGAAAUGCGUAGAUAUCGGAAGGAACACCUGUGGCGAAAGCGGCUCACUGGACCAUAACUGACGCUGAUGCACGAAAGCUAGGGGAGCAAACAGG